GUACUCACUUCAGCAAACCCAUGCUAAAAUUGGAACGACACAGACAUGGUUAGUGUGGCCCCUCUGCAUGGAUGACAUGCAUAUUCAUGAAGCAUUCUGUAUUUUU
Molecule: small nuclear RNA, 106 nt
Organism: Phyllostomus discolor (pale spear-nosed bat)
Lineage: Eukaryota; Metazoa; Chordata; Mammalia; Chiroptera; Phyllostomidae
Source: RefSeq, a predicted model, not a curated record